AGAGCUAUAACCAAAUAAUUAUUCUUUAUUAUUUUACUAUUAAAUCCACUUUAAAAUUAUAAAUUUCACAUAAUUUACCAUAUAACUAUGCCUUAUUGUAAUCCAUUUCUACUUAAUUAUAAACUGCACCUUGACCUGAUGUAAUUAAUAUUAAUUAAUAAAGAAAAUAACCCUAAUAAGAUAUUCUGACAACGGCGGUAUACAAACUUUAAAUUAAGAAAGGUUCAACGUGGACUAUCGAUUACAGAACAGAUUCCUCUAAAUAGACUAAAACACCGCCAAAUUCUUUAAGUUUCAAGAAAUUAACUAUUACUACUCAAGCAUUUAAAUUUUACACUUUAAAUAAUAGGGUAUCUAAUCCUAGUUUAUUAAUAAAGUUUUAUAGUUUAAAUUAAUUUAAUUCUAAAAACUGGAAAAAAUUUAAAAUUUUACCUAAUAAAUUAAAUUUAAUUUUUUUUUUAUUUAUCACAUUUAACUAACACUAAAAAAUUUUAUUUGCAUUAUUUG
This 507-nucleotide ribosomal RNA is filed under the name Thaumalea gillespieae. Its description in RNAcentral is "partial 12S ribosomal RNA". Lineage: Eukaryota; Metazoa; Arthropoda; Insecta; Diptera; Thaumaleidae. The record is from RNAcentral.